AACGAACGCUGGCGGCGUGGAUAAGGCAUGCAAGUCGAACGAGAGAAUUGCUAGCUUGCUAAUAAUUCUCUAGUGGCGCACGGGUGAGUAACACGUGAGUGACCUGCCCCCGACGAGCGGGAGUAGCCCUCGGGAAACGUAGGGAGUUAAUACCGCAUAGUAUCGAAAGAUUAAAGCAGCAAUGCGCUUGGGGAUGGGCUCGCGGCCUAUUAGUUAGUUGGUGAGGUAACGGCUCACCAAGGCGAUGACGGGUAGCCGGUCUGAGAGGAUGUCCGGCCACACUGGAACUGAGACACGGUCCAGACACCUACGGGUGGCAGCAGUCGAGAAUCAUUCACAA
RNAcentral lists this ribosomal RNA (340 nucleotides) under uncultured bacterium. RNAcentral's name for it is "bacterial SSU rRNA". It matches the Rfam family "Bacterial small subunit ribosomal RNA", at positions 29 to 371 of the family's 1533-position model. The record is from RNAcentral.